This is a non-coding RNA of Drosophila virilis, 610 nucleotides long. NCBI's taxonomy places the organism in Eukaryota, Metazoa, Arthropoda, Insecta, Diptera, Drosophilidae. The record is from RefSeq and is a predicted model, not a curated record.
UGGAAAUAUGUUUAAAAGAAAUAUGAUUCCGUAUGAUGAUAUUAAACUGAGAAUAACUGAUAAAAGCCAAAUCUGAACUUUAAUAAUAUCUAGAUCAUGAGUUUAAGGCCCUAUAAAGCCCAUUCGGGCCUACCCACUUUUGUUAACUGGCCAGCCGCUCACGCUUUGUGUUAGUAUAUUUGUAAAGGUCACCGGCUAUUCUUUUGUUUUAGUCAACCACCAAGGAGCCCCGGGCAGAGGGACAAGCAUAACAAUGCUGUCACGCAGCACCCACACGAAGAAGCAAAACAUUCAGCCACGUGCUUAAGCGCUUCUGGGCAAUAAAUAAAAAUUUUCCGUGUUUUUAAACAUUUCACACACAAAGUCCAUUCAAAUUAUUAAUUUACUGAAACCAAAACAAAAAGCAGAGAACAAUCAACAAUUCAACCAAUUUGAACGAGUGCACAAAAAUAAUUUCGCGGAGCUUACAUACAAAAAAAUGUAAACAAAACCAACAAGGAACGAGGGGUAUCCGAAAAUGUUUCUGAGCGUGGAAAGUCUUAAUACUCUUCUUGAGAUACUUUUUAUAACUCCUUAAUUAUUCUAUAAAAAUUGUGAUAAAGUUUUAUAU